GGUGAUUUCAUUAAUAAUAAGAAAAGAUUUAAUAUGGUGCUUUCAUUAAUAAUAAGAAAAGUUUAAAUAAUAAUCAAUCUCAUAAUAAUAAUUUAAUUAACUCUUCAAUCCUUUUAUAAAAUUGGAGAGUAAGAGAAAAACAAUAAUAAUAACUUUUUCUAUUUUUUUUUUCCG
Molecule: non-coding RNA, 174 nt
Filed under: Aulacoseira subarctica
Lineage: Eukaryota; Bacillariophyta; Melosirophyceae; Melosirales; Aulacoseiraceae
Source: RNAcentral